AAGUCGUAACAAGGUUUCCGUAGGUGAACCUGCGGAAGGAUCAUUAACAAAUUUCCAACACUCGUGUUCUUCAGGUGGGAAGAGGCCUCCGGGUCUCCAACCGCCUGGAGUAUCUACACAAUACACUUACUUUACAACAACAAUUACAACCAAAAGAUAUCAAUGUGAAAAACAACUUUUAACAAUGGAUCUCUUGGCUCUUGCAACGAUGAAGAACGCAGCGAACUGCGAAACGUAAUGUGACCUGCACUCUUCGUGAAUCAUCCAAUCUUUGAACGCAAUUUGCACCGGAUGAUGCAUGUCAUCCGGUAUACUUGUUUGAGUAUCUGAAACUACCUCACACCCCCUCGGGGCGAUGUGGACUGAAUGAGCUUCUUGCUUUACUGCAAGUCUCUCGAAAUAGAUGGGUCUCUUUCUCGCAAGAGAGAGUAGGACUGUCUCUGCCUGAACGAGGUUAGACUAUUGGGAUAACAUCCUAACAAUCGUCGCCUUGCUUCACCUCUCACGAGGAAGGGUAUUGACAGACUGACUAGACCUGACCGGGCUUAGCUUGUCUAAACAGCAAGUGUCAGUCCACGGUUUGCUUUACCGCAUGCCUGUUCUCUAGAUCUCAAAUCAAGUAAGGAUACCCGCUGAACUUAAGCAUAUCAGUAAGCGGAGGAAAAGAAACUAACAAGGAUUCCCCUAGUAACGGCGAGUGAAGCGGGAAGAGCUCAAAUUUAAAAUCUAGUUGUCUUUGACAGCUCGAAUUGUGAUUGAGAGGCAUGUCUUUGGGGCACGCUGAGAGUCUAAGUUCUCUGGAAAGGGACAACAAAGAGGGUGACAUUCCCGUCUGGAUUCUCAUGUGUGUUCCGUAUAAAGGCGUGUCAACGAGUCGGAUUGUUUGGGAAUGCAGUCCAAAAUGGGUGGUACAUGUCAUCUAAAGCUAAAUAUUGGCAAGAGACCGAUAGCGAACAAGUACCGUGAGGGAAAGAUGAAAAGAACUUUGAAAAGAGAGUUAAAAAGUACGUGAAAUUGUUAAAAGGGAAACGAUUGAGACCAGUGAUGCUCUCUGUCCUUGAGCGGUCCUCUUGGGGACCGUGUAUGGGCAGUGAGCACGUGGACGCUCCUUUGCAGCCGUGGAAAAGACAAGAGGAAAGGUGGCUAUGCCUUCGGGCAAUAGCGUUAUAGUCCUCUUGGGAUACAUGGCAGUGGAGGAGAAAGGUAGGCCAGCAAUGGUCACGUCCACGAAAUGGUCUUAAACGACC
This 1247-nucleotide ribosomal RNA is filed under the name uncultured fungus. RNAcentral's name for it is "eukaryotic LSU rRNA". The stretch from base 606 to 1247 matches the Rfam family "Eukaryotic large subunit ribosomal RNA", at positions 1 to 649 of the family's 3401-position model. Lineage: Eukaryota; Fungi. The record is from RNAcentral.